GGCAACGGCCAUACCACGUUGAAGGCACCGGUUCUCGUCCGAUCACCGCAGUUAAGCAACGUUGGGCGCGGUCAGUACUUGGAUGGGUGACCGCUUGGGAACACCGCGUGCCGUUGGCA
This 119-nucleotide ribosomal RNA is filed under the name Neodiprion lecontei (redheaded pine sawfly). Lineage: Eukaryota; Metazoa; Arthropoda; Insecta; Hymenoptera; Diprionidae. The record is from RNAcentral. RNAcentral also lists the same sequence under 1 other name.